AAACGGGUGAGUAACACGUGAGCAACCUGCCUAUCAGAGGGGGAUAACGAUUGGAAACGAUCGCUAAUACCGCAUGACAUAGCGGAACCGCAUGGUUCUGCUAUCAAAGAUUUUAUCGCUGAUAGAUGGGCUCGCGUCCGAUUAGAUAGUUGGUGGGGUAACGGCCUACCAAGUCGACGAUCGGUAGCCGGACUGAGAGGUCGAACGGCCACAUUGGGACUGAGACACGGCCCAGACUCCUACGGGAGGCAGCAGUGGGGGAUAUUGCACAAUGGGGGAAACCCUGAUGCAGCGACGCCGCGUGAGGGAAGACGGUCCUCUGGAUUGUAAACCUCUGUCUUCGGGGACGAAAGUAGACGGUACCCGAGGAGGAAGCCACGGCUAACUACGUGCCAGCAGCCGCGGUAAUACGUAGGUGGCAAGCGUUGUCCGGAAUUACUGGGUGUAAAGGGAGCGUAGGCGGGCAGGCAAGUCAGGCGUGAAAUAUAUCGGCUCAACCGGUAACGGCGCUUGAAACUGCAGGUCUUGAGUGAAGUAGAGGUUGGCGGAAUUCCUAGUGUAGCGGUGAAAUGCGUAGAUAUUAGGAGGAACACCAGUGGCGAAGGCGGCCAACUGGGCUUUUACUGACGCUGAGGCUCGAAAGUGUGGGGAGCAAACAGGAUUAGAUACCCUGGUAGUCCACACCGUAAACGAUGAUUACUAGGUGUGG
Molecule: ribosomal RNA, 709 nt
Filed under: uncultured bacterium
Lineage: Bacteria
Description: bacterial SSU rRNA
Rfam family: Bacterial small subunit ribosomal RNA
Source: RNAcentral